RNA transcript from Corythoichthys intestinalis (scribbled pipefish), 16030 nucleotides. It is a transcript of the gene named 1-acylglycerol-3-phosphate O-acyltransferase 9, like, with no coding region annotated. NCBI's taxonomy places the organism in Eukaryota, Metazoa, Chordata, Actinopteri, Syngnathiformes, Syngnathidae. The transcript is spliced from 4 exons. The record is from RefSeq and is a predicted model, not a curated record.
UUACUGUUUGUAAAGUGAGGCGACACUGACACUGUUGAUUGCUACAGCUCUCGUAGCAGCUAGGUUUACUACAUGAGCAAGACAUCAUAUUUGUGGUCCGAAUCCAUCUGUGUCACGUACUGAAUUAACAAUAUCAGCAGCAUUAUCUAUAGUCACUGAUAUGGAUUGAUUUGGCCUUCUUAACUUCCAUUCAGUCAUGGUGCUUUAUAAUUCAUGUAGUAUAUGGACUACGUGUCCCAUAAUGACUCUGGGCUCACGUAGCCAUGGCACGGGACGUAGCACAUCUAGUUUGCUAGUUCAUGAUAUCUAGUGUGUGCGCGCAUAAAAAAGUUAGCAAACGCCACAUUCACGUCUGCUCAUUACUGCACAACAACACCAGCAUAUGACAAUCGACUUUCAUAAACAGGACGAGUUUGAAGCACAGCGCUCUUUAUUUACCACUCAAUGUUCCUCAUGUCAGCUGUCUGUUGUCAAACCGAGGUUGUUCGUAACAGCCAAGUCAGUAACAAUGUUUUGGUGGACUUCGUUGUAAAUAUCCGGUGUUAUGCCGAAAAAUAGCCGCCCCGCGUGAAAGGCCACCCCUGACGGGCGCGCCCACACGUCAACAACACCGGCACGGCAGAGAUGAUCCGCAGUCAAUCCAGAGCACUGACGCGGCCGGUAUACGUUGAACAAUAGGAUAUAAUGGGAACGAUUGGCUCCGGCGCUACUUUUUGCUGGAUCUGGAGCGAAGAUGCAUUUUGCGUAGUUGGUAACAAGGAAUCCGAACUUUUAACAGCAACAUCUGGCGCACCCACGCGCGCACACACGUGCACGGGAGGCAAUAAAUCGCAGCGGAAAAAUUACCGCCUUCAUUUUUAUUUAUCGUGCGAUAAAUGGAAUUAUUGCAUAUUGCGACAGGCUUACUUGCAGUCAUUGCAAGGUGGAGAUAACUGCAUCGGGAGGGAAUAGACUGCACUGUCCUCACUGAGACGCUAAGGCUCAGUCCUGGCUAUACAGCUAGCUAAACUCCCAAAUGACGAUGCAGAAGAUGUUGGUAUAAUUUGCUGACUUUAUUCAACCAUCACUUGAAGAGUGAAACUAAAAAUAGAAAUGAAACAAAUCAAUUUCGUCCCCAAUAACAAACAGGUUUGCAUCAACGUAAAUCAGCGAUAAUUAGCUGCUAAUACAGUAAUAACAAACAGUUAGCAUGCGUUCGCUAGCAUUAGCACAUCGUUCAAACCACUACACAACUGGAUUUAAGUGUCCGAUCGCGAGUGGAAACACACAACAACAACAACACAAAAGAUGAUACAUACAGGCGUUGCCUCUGUAGAUAUUUUACAAACAUUAACAAAGAACGUAGGCUCGUGGCAGUGUUUCCCUUUCUCACGAACUCGCUCACUCGCUUGGAUGCUGGACUACUUCGCGUGUAAGCGCGCUCUUCUUCACGUGAGCGCGUUCUUUUUCGCGUGAGGAAGUGCAAGGGCGCCCCCACUUGAGCGUGAAAGCUCCAUAAAAAAUAAAAGGCAUGCAUUUCAAUAUAAUGGUAAACUUUAACACAGGGGUCCCCAAACUACGGCCCGCGGCUCCACAUUUGGUCCGGCCCCCUGAACAAUACCAGAGAGGAUUUUUUUUUUUUUUUUUUUUUUCUCAGUAGUGUUAUGUAUUUCAUGGCCUUUUUCUGUGAAUAACUCAGAGAGGGUUAUUUGGUUAUUAUCUAUUUAAUUAAUAGUGCCAUUAAUAUUAUGGUAUAUUAUUAUUUUUAUUUUAUUUACUUUUGUUCCGUGAAGAAUCCACAGAGGGUUAUUUGAUUGUGACUUUCUGAAAAACAAUUUUUUUUUUUACAUUUAUGCACUCCUGCAAUCGUCAGAAGGGAAAAGUUAUGUGGCCCUCACAGGAAAAACUUUGGGGACCCCUGCUUUAACACAUAUUGCCAAAGGUAGAACAACGACCUAUAUGCCAAUAUAUACCAAUAUUUUUUAUUUUGCAUUUGCCACUUAUUGCCACAGUUAACAUUGAGGCUUUGGGCCUCUUUUGACCUCGUUGUGAGUUUGUAAGGUUGCGACUUCUGAUUAAACAAACUCGAUGCCAAUCAAAAUGUUUGUUCUUCUUUUCCCCCAAAUUAGAAUCGAUAAGAGAAUCGAUAAAGAAUCGACUCGUUAAGCAAUAUCGAUAAUGGAAUCGAAAUCGUAAAAAUCGUAUCAAUUCCCAUUCCUAAUAAAAAUAGAAAUAUAUUCUGGUUAUGGCCUCCAGUAACACGCCAAAUUUGAUUUUUAUUUUACUUAUUUUUAUCAUUUCAUUGGAUUUAACUCAUUGUCCGCUACUGACAACAAUAGACCCCUGAUUCAUUUCAACAUCUUUCAGUGCUGUUGACUGCCGUCACUGACAGCCAGUGAAUUCAAUGAGUGCCCUAUGAAUAUAAUCAUUUUCAUUCAUUUAGUUUACUAUCAAAUAUCUGAUAGGAUUCACGCAUGACUGGGUGCAAUUAGACACACUCAAGUAGAGAAACUAUCGGUGCCAGGAUUAGUGAUCAGUCAGCAUACAAUAGGAUGUCAACAUAUCCACACGUGGAAUGUUCCCUCUAAUUUUUCAUGUGUCUAAGCAGACACACAAGCUCCCUGAGCACACUGCGGACCACGGUGAGCAACAUCAGAUGUGUACCCUUGGGUACACACGCCUGUUCAAAACCCUGGAUCAUAGCAAUUACAUGGCUUAUCAAAAGAAUGAAACUACAGCAGCAAUUUUCAUUAGUUUACUUUUAAUAUAAUUGAUUUGGCCCGCAUAAAAAGAAAAAGAGAAAAAUUUCGUUGUUCAUGAGAUGUGUACUAUGUUAUAUGUGAGAGACCUGCUUUAACCAUAGGAAGAAUUCUGACCUGGGUAAGGUCCACUUGUGGCAUAGAUCAGGGGUCCCCAACCUUUUUUGCACCACGGAGCGGUGUGAUUUGGGUCGUUUUUUUUUCACGGAGCAGUGCUCUGUCAAAUUUUGCUCCCUUAUAAAAUUUUGCUCCCAAAACUUGUGUGGCGGUGAAAAAGCCCUUUUAUAUUCAGUUGGACUCUUUUCUACAUGUCCGUCCAUGAUCAAACAUAAGUUAGUAGUCCUUUCUUUAAAGAAAGUUUGUAGUGUUUACUUUGGAAUCGUUGAAUUCGUGACCAUUUUUAACGUUACGCAUGUGUCAGAACACCGGCAAUGUGCGGCAGAAAAAUACAGCAAAUAUCACAUAACAUUUGUUUUAGCCCCGUCGUGUAAGUGCAGGGAAAAUAUAACUCAGCUGCUGAAUCAGUGGGAGGCCUGAGCUUGUUUCGUUGAGACGAGAUGGUCCCAUCUAGGUGUGAUAGGAGAGUGAAAGACGCCCGCUUCACAAAGAUACAAUGUUGGAUAUUGUAGCACGGUUUUCAGUGCUCUCGUAGCGAUGUAAGGAUAUUCCGGAAUGACUUUAAUCCAGAACCUUGGUAGAGUUGUUAUCUCAAAUGCACAGUACAUUUAAGGUCCCCGUCAUUUGUGAUCUCUGCAAGCUGAUCCUCCUGUUGCACAGAUAUGCUCGAAUCACUCAAUUUAUUCACAAACUGGUCACAAAUCCACUCCUUUGCAGUUCGCAGGUCUGUCGUGAUUGGGAAGUACCGUAGAUUUUGUUUUCUUCGAAGUUGUAGGCUCAUCUUCUGGCUCGUUAGGUGCCCUUUUCCCCGUAAAAAAUCUGCCCAAAGACAUCUUUUUUUUCAGUCAUUCUAGUGUAGGGGCUAAUUAUGUCCAGGAACAAAUGUGAUGCGCCCGCCCUACGUCAUACGUUAUUAUCGAGGACAAGCGCACGUAGAUAUACAAAACAAGAUGUACUGCUAGCAGUCCAAUCAAUGGAUUUCUAUGACGACAUUCUAUCCUGUAGUAUUAUAUCUAGAGUAGACAGGGAUAUUGGAGUGUUAAUGGGCACAGGUCAAAGUUAAUUGGGCCACAAUGCAGUCAUUAAUAAAUUAUUAUUUCUGUGCAGCCCGGUAGCAAAUGCGCCACGGACAUGUACCAGUCUGCGGCCCGGCAGUUGGGGACCCCUGGCAUAGAUGACUUAAUAAAUAAAACAUAAUGAACAACCACAAUGGGAGUACAGUAAAAUAUACUCACACAUUAAAACUGUUCAGACAAUAAGGACAAUCAAGAUUCCUAUUGCAGCUUCACUGCAAAAACACGCCUCCUUAAAACUAGUAAACUUCCCUUAAGUGAAUAUAUUGUGACCGCACACGAGUUAGGCCUGGCCAGGAAGCAGCUUGAGACGCCAAGGUGUCCAACCAAACAGUUCUUUAAUCAGCAAAACCAGCGGGUUUCCUCAAAAGAAAAAGGCCCAAAUGUGGCACAAACAGUAACAAAGCAAACAAUCAACUAAAAUGUCUCAAAAAUGGCAACCUAGGUCUGUUCUCAUCAAAAUACUCAAAAUGUCUUACAAGUGGCAACUUAGGUCUGUUCUCAAAAUACUUUCUUCCAAGUCUCUCUGUCAAUCUCCUUACGCCUUCCCCUUUGCUUCAUCUGGUCGUCUUUUAUCUUGUCCUCCAGGCCAGCUGCAAUUAGGUGGCUUAAGCAGCCACACCUGGCUGCGUUGUGCGGCAUGCUGGGAAUUGUAGUCUUUAGGCUGGCGGCCAUUUUGACUUGAUUCUUCUGCUCUGGAAAAGGAAUGUAACGGCCCUCCACUACCUGUCCCCGCCUGAUGUCACACAUCCCCCUCCCCGGGCCUGACGUCCUCGGCAGGUCGACGGAAGCCCAAAAGGCAUCCCGGCGGGACAGGGCAUCAGCGUUUCCGUGUUUGCUCCCGGCCCUGUGCACAACAGAAAACAUGAAAGGCUGCAGGCUCAAGAACCAUCUCGUUACCCUGCUGUUGGUUUCCUUGUUCUUUGCCAUCCAUUGCAGCGGGGAAUGGUCCGUCACCAGCGUGAAUCUCCGACCCAACAAGUAGUAUUUCAGGGUCUCCAGCGCCCAUUUAAUGGCCAGGCACUCCUUCUCCACCGUGGCAUAAUUCUUCUCUCUUGGCAGCAGCUGCCGGCUCAAAUACAGGAUGGGAUGUUCCUCACCCCCACUGACCUGAGCCAGUACUGCUCCUAGUCCGGUCUCUGAGGCAUCUGCCUGCACCACGAAUUCCCUGGUGAAAUCUGGGGCCGUCAGAACCGGUGCGCUACACAGGGCUCUCUUGAGGUCAAUAAAUGCUGCUUCAGCUUUGGUGUUCCAGCUCACCAUCCGAGAGUGUCUCUUGGUGGUCAGCUCUGUAAGUGGGGCAGCUAUCAUAGCGAAAUUAGAGAUAAAUCGGCGGUAAUAAUUAGCCAACCCCAGGAACGAACGAACCUGUUUCUUGGUCACCGGUCUGGGCCAGCUCCGAAUGGCCUCAAGCUUGGCCUCCUGAGGCUUUACCAAACCUCGCCCAAUGGUAUACCCCAGAUAAUUAGUCUCACUACACGCCACCUUACAUUUCUUUGGGUUCGCAGUCAGCCCUGCUUGCCGGAGGGAGUCCAGGACCCUCUGCACCCGUGGAAGAUGACUUUCCCAGUCAGAGCUUUGGAUUACCACGUCAUCGAGGUAGGCUGCAGCAUAUUCUUGAUGAGGUCGCAGGACUUGAUCCAUCAGCCGCUGGAAAGUGGCCGGAGCGCCGAACAAGCCGAACGGCAUCAUUCGGUACUGCCAAAGGCCUCCCGGAGUGGCGAAGGCGGUCUUCUCCUUGGACUCUGCUGAAAGAAACGUAUGGUGUUAUCCGGUUUUCCAAUUAGCACUAUUGGGCUGGACCAGGCGCUUUUAGAUGGCUCGAUUACCUUCAUGUCUAGCAUCUUCUUCACUUCGUCCUCCACGAUUUGCUUGCGAGCCUCAGGUAUUCGGUACGGUUUCUGGUUUACCUUCUUCCCAGGCUGGGUGCGGAUUUCAUGUUCGAUGAGGUGCGUGCAGCCUGGCCUCGCCGAAAAUACAUCCUGGUUGCCAUCUACAAGCUCUUUUGCCUGCUGCAGUUGGUUGGGAUCCAGAUCGGGUCCAAACUGCACUUGUUCCCGAGCCGGGGUGUCCAGGUCUCUGGGGGGAAGGCAUGUGAACAAUACUUCUCUCUCGUGCCAUUUUUUCAGCAGAUUGACAUGGUAGAUUUGCUCACCUUUCCGCUUGCCCGGUUGUCUCACCUUGUAAUUAACCUCCCCCACUUUUUCAAUUAUUUCAAAGGGUCCCUGCCAGGUUGCCAAGAACUUGCAUUCUACCGUGGGGACCAGCACUAGUACUCGAUCCCCGGGCUGGAAUUCCCGCGGUUGAGCUGUCCGAUUGUACGUACCCCUCUGUUCUCUUUGGGCUUUUUCCAUGUGUUCUUUCACUAUGGGCAUAACGGCUGACAUCCUUUCCCUCAUGGCCCCUACAUGUUCCACCAUGGUUCGGUGGGGGCAGGGUUGCUCCUCCCAGGUCUCCUUGGCGAUAUCCAGCAGACCCCUGGGCUUGUGGGAAUAAAGUAGAUCGAAGGGUGAAAAGCCUGUCGACGAUUGAGGUACUUCUCUUACCGCAAACAGGAGAUAGGGAAGUAGCUGGUCCCAGUUCCGGCCGUCCUUGUCAAUGGCCUUCCGUAGCAUCGCCUUCAGAGUCUUGUUGAACCGUUCCACCAACCCGUCCGUUUGAGGGUGGUAGACAGAGGUCCUCAACUGUUUCACUCUUAACAGCGUACACAUCUCUCGGGUGACCCGAGCCAUAAAUGGGGUGCCCUGGUCCGUUAGAAUUUCUUUAGGAAGACCUACUCUGCUGCUGAAGAGGAAAAGUUCAUGAGCAAUGUGCUUAGCGUUGGCCUUUCGUAAUGGGAUGGCCUCUGGAUACCGGGUAGCAUAGUCUAUAAUUACAAGGAUGUACUGGUGGCCUCGCGCGCUCUUAGGGAGAGGCCCUACAAUGUCCAUUCCCACCCUUUCAAAUGGGGUUUCUAUGAUAGGCAACGGCACCAGGGGAUUCCGGUACCCUUGUUUGGGGGCUUUUAACUGGCACUCUGGGCAACUGCGGCAAUAAUUUUCUAUGUCCUUGUGAACACCUGGCCAAAAGAACCUUUGCAAUACUCGUUCUUUGGUUUUCUCCACCCCUAGAUGAGCCCCCAUUACGUGAGUAUGAGCUAACUGCAGAACAGUGGGGCGGUGCAUGCGAGGUACAAGCAAUUGUUCAACAAUUUUGUCUUUAACUUUCACCACUUGGUAUAAAAGCCCAUUUUUUACCGCAAAGUGGGGAUAGGCAGGAGUGGUUCGGUCCCCUACCAACGUUCCCUCUAUUACCUGAAGGUUUUUUAAAACAUUGCAAAACGUGGGUUCUUGUAAUUGAGCAGUGCCAUACUGACCCUUUAAGGAGGAUUCGGCCUCUGGGAUCGCUCGUUCCUCGUCACUGGAGGCAGACUGUGGACUUGAGGCAGUUGAGUCUUCUGGCCUGUAUCUUGAGCCCCGGUCUGCUGCGACAAAAGCCGGGGUGAUCUCCUUGCGAUGUCUUCGCUCGAGCCUCUUGUGGGCUUCCCGCCACAACUUAGGAAAGGCCGGGCAGUCCCGGCCAAUAAGGACAGGCACGGGAAGGGCCUUGACAACCCCCACUCGCACAUUGAACGUGCCCUUGGUAGUAGUGAGCCUCACCUCGGUGGUCGGAUAUUCGUGGGUGUCCCCAUGGACGCAGACAACUGGUACUUUUUCUCCUCGCUCCAGGUUGGGGGCCUCCAGGACCCACUCCUGAACCAGGGUCCUCGUGCUUCCUGAAUCCAACAGGGCUUCCACAUCCCGGCAGUUGACAGUGACUGGACACAUAGGCCGUGGGCUUUCACUUUCCCCCAGGAGGGCUGCAAACUGGGAGGGGGUGCUGCCAGAAGACUCUGCGGUAGGCAUGGGCACGUCAGACUUUCCACACUGCCACGAGAUAUGUCCUACCUCUCCGCAGCGGUAACACCGACGAGCCUCAGGAGCCAGGGCGCUUUUUGACGGCUCUAGUGUAGGCAGUCCUCGUCCCGGGUCUAUUGGAGGGGCCCGAUCACGAUUGGAGCUGCUGGUUCGCUGGGGAGUUGAGGCAGCAGGCUUACUACGGGGCUGUCGAAGCAUGUCCGCAGCAGCGUGAAAUUGUUCGACCGCCUCAGUUAGCUCUAGGGUCGUUGUGAAUUUCUGCUGACUAACUGCCUUCUUGGCGUCGAACGGCAGGGCUCGUAAGUAGCGGUCAAUCACCAGAGUCUCUACCAUUUCUGCUGGGGUCUUUUUGUCAGGCUCCAACCACUUCUUGGUUAUUCUAAUCAACUCGUGCAUCUGGGAGCGGGGGUUGAGCCCAUUUUGAAAGGUCCAGCUAUGAAACCGCUGGGCCAUGCCAAACCUUGUAAGGCCAUGGCGGCUCAAUAUUUCGGCCUUUAGCUGGUCAUAAUCUUGUGCACUUUCUGGCUCUAAAUCUCGAUAGGCGUUCAGUGCCUCCCCCGAGAGAAAAGGGGCUAAUAGGUUACCCCACUGGGGUUUCGGCCAUCGCUCUUGAACAGCAGUGGAUUCAAAAGCAUGGAGGUAGGCCUCCACAUCAUCAGACACUGACAUUUUGGGAAUGAAUUCACUUGCCUUGGGUUUAGCUCGGGCCAAUUGGUGAAGCUCUUGCUCUUUAAGCUGGUUGGCCCUCAUUUGCUGUUGAAGCAAGGCCACCUGGGUUUCUUGUUGUGCCUUCUGGGCCUCCAAGAGCAUCUGCAUUAACCGCUCCAUUCCGCUGGGCUGUUGGUUGGUGUGAAGCUGGGAGAAAAGCUGGGAUAACUCGUCUAUGGCGUCCGUCUCUGUAGUCUGGUCCUAGGCCCACAUGCCCUCAUUCUCCACCAUCUGUGACCGCACACGAGUUAGGCCUGGCCAGGAAGCAGCUUGAGACGCCAAGGUGUCCAACCAAACAGUUCUUUAAUCAGCAAAACCAGCGGGUUUCCCCAAAAGAAAAAGGCCCAAAUGUGGCACAAACAGUAACAAAGCAAACAAUCAACUAAAAUGUCUCAAAAAUGGCAACCUAGGUCUGUUCUCAUCAAAAUACUCAAAAUGUCUUACAAGUGGCAACUUAGGUCUGUUCUCAAAAUACUUUCUUCCAAGUCUCUCUGUCAAUCUCCUUACGCCUUCCCCUUUGCUUCAUCUGGUCGUCUUUUAUCUUGUCCUCCAGGCCAGCUGCAAUUAGGUGGCUUAAGCAGCCACACCUGGCUGCGUUGUGCGGCAUGCUGGGAAUUGUAGUCUUUAGGCUGGUGGCCAUUUUGACUUGAUUCUUCUGCUCUGGAAAAGGAAUGUAACGGCCCUCCACUACCUGUCCCCGCCUGAUGUCACAAUAUAUAUAGUCUUAAAAUAAGCUUGUUUGUCAGAAAUUCAAGAAUAGAUAUUGUUCAAAACAUUAUUUGAAAGCAAACUUGGAACAAGGAUGGACUUUUACGGAAAGUGAAACUAUCCUUUGGGAUAAAAGACUGAAUUGCAAAGGGCAAUACCACUUUUGGUAUUGACCGCAAACCUUCUGUUGUAGAGCAUCCUAUAUAAAAGCUAAUUCUUGUGUUGGAAUGUUUGAAAGCUUACUGAAUUGUGGUUAUUUCAUUGUUGAAAAUUACUCAUUUUUUUGUUGUUAAUAGUAUGCAUACUUUUGGUGGGAGUGUAAAUAACCAAAGCCUAAUUUCUGUCUCCCGAGCAUAUUUUAUUUUGUAAUUCACCAUAACUUCCUGUUACGCUUUUAUUUUGGUGUAUUUCUUGUUCCGUGUGUUUUGCAAUGUUGUAACUUGAAGGCGGGCCAAAAUGAGUGACGGCUAACUGUGACAGUUUUGAUCUAGUCUCGUGGCCCCUCUGGAAGAGGCAAAGCUCUUAUGGUGAUCCUUUUAUUUUCUAAGGUGAUCGGUUGGUUUGAUUAACUAGAUUAUAUCAGUUCCAAAAUUAGAUAUUAAUUUAUACUGUAGCGCUUGCAAAGAUUGGCAUUAUUAGCACAGGAGUCUAGCUCUCUUUUCACCAUUAAUGGAAGCGCCGCGUUGCCGUUUCGAACGCACCAAUAGGAGUGUCGCGCUGACACAUUACAGUGGCGCGGACAGUUGUCCGAGUCGCGCUGCCGUAUCGAACGCGACAAUAGGAGCGUCGCAUCGCUGUAUCGAACACACCAUUACUGUGGCGCACAGUAGUAGUGACGCAACAUUACGUUUAUGUUGAAUUUUAUUUUGUGCGCUGCAUAGAUUUUCUUGUGCGCAGAGUAUGUUCAAGCAGUGCGCGAUUGCGCACGCGCACAGCUGAGAGGGAACAUUGCACACGGGAUUCACAUAAUACUGGGUUUCACACCUCAAAUUGCUUAAUUUGUAUACGCUCCACUCCUCUCAAUCACAUAUCUGUCUGCCCCCCCCCCUCCUUUUUCACCCCUUGGUAAAAAAAAAAAAACAGAAAAUCACAUUGUUUGAUUUUUAAAGAAUGUGUUUCCAAAUUAGAGUGGAAAAUAAGUAUUUGGUCACCUACAAACAAGCAAGAUUUCUGGCUGUCAAAGAGGUCUAACUUCUGUUAACGAGGUCUAACGAGGCUCAACUCGUUACCUGUAUUAAUGGCACCUGUUUUAACUCAUUAUCGGUAUAAAAGACACCUGUCCACAAACUCAGUCAGUCACACUCCAAACUCCACUAUGGCCAAGACCAAAGAGCUGUCGAAGGACACCAGAGACAAAAUUGUAGACCUGCGACUUCCGGUGGAGAGGAGAAUGGAGUAGGUCGUAGGCGUUGAACGCUCCCGCUCCGAACUGACAUUUCAACUACCUUUUCACAACCCAUGCCUGCUCAAACACUGAGUAAUCAGCAGUGGUCACUUUCUGACGUACCUGAUGGCAUCUGGGACCAGACAAGCGAGGGAAAAAGACACGAGGAAGGAGGACCCAUCCACCGCUAGCCACAUUAGCAUGUCGGCGUUGACUAGCUUGCUGGAAGACCAUAGACAAUCCAUUGCGGCCGCGAUGUCGGCAGAACUCAAGUCCGCAUUUUCCUCCCUCGACGCCAAACUAGACUCCCUACAGUUAACCGUGAAUGACUUUGGCGAGCGAAUCACUAUCCUGGAGAGCAAUUUUGGCCUAGCCGAAGAACGCAUCCACACUCUGGAAGUUUCAUGCGCCUCGCUAGCCGACACUUGCAUAAAACUUAAAGCCCGGAACGCAGACUUGGAGGCACGAAGCAGGCGAAACAACAUCCGGAUCAUCGGUCUGCCAGAAUCAGUGGAAGGUCCAAAACCCACGGAGUUCUUCGCACAAGCCCUGAAGGAGAUUUUCGGGGUACAGCUGCUCCCGUCCUCGCCGGAAUUGGACCGGGCUCACCGCACCUUCGCUCCAAUGCCGAAACAAGGGGACAGACCGAGACCCGUGAUCGUGAGCUUCCUUCGAUAUCAGACUAAGGAGCUGAUCGUUCGAGAAGCCCGGCGACGGAGGAACACGUUGAGGUAUCGUGACUCGCCGAUUCGGAUUUAUGAAGACUAUUCGCCCGACGUCUUGGUGCAACGUUCGGCCUAUCGAGAAAUAAUGGCGAAACUGUACGACUUGGGCCUCAGGCCAGCUCUACUCUACCCGGCGAAGCUACAAAUCGUCAAGAAAGACGGUAAUAGACGGCGAUUUUCCUCCCUCGAAGAGGCUACUGCCUUCCUGAAAUCCUUGACCUCUGUUUAAAUAUAUUUGUUUCCCUCGUUUUCGGACUGGAUGGCCUUUGCUAGGCUUGGACUGCUAGAGUGGUAUGCUUUCAAGAUAGCACCCUGUUAACAUUGGGGUUAACUAUUUUUCUUCUAUUUUUUACUCUAACACACAGCGGGAAAUAACUAUAGAGAGUGAUUUUUUUUUUCCCCCCCUCGAUCUCGUCUUGUGAAAUUUCGUGCAUGGUACAACUUUUUUGGACUGGUUCUCGUUUCCUUGCUCGAUCCUUGCUGUUUACUUUAAGAUUUAAUAUAUUUUUUUAUUAUUAUCCCCCCCCCCCCCUCUCCUUUUAAAAAGACGAGGGGACAGGAAGGGUAAGAAGAAGAGGAGGGAAAGGAGAAAAAAAAAAAAAAUUAAAAAGAAAAAUAAAAUAAAUAAAUAAAAAUCAUUUUUGACAAAACUAUUACUGAGGGAGGGCACCAUGUUGAGAACCAGGGUUAACCUUACGUCCGGCGGGAGCGUUAUUGGUAUGGGAACUAAUGAGUACAGUAGAAACUGGAGGCUAUAUAGAUGUAUGUUUGAUGUUUGGUGUUGCAGUAAUUUUUUUAUUUUUUAUUUUUGUUUCAUUUCGGUUUUGUCUUGUUUUGGGUUUUUCUUUCAUUAGUUUUGUGUGCCCCCCCUCCCCUCCCCACCUGUGCAGGGCAAUGUGGCUUUGUUUAUUUCAAUAACUUAUUAAUAUGUCCAUCAUUCCUACAUAUAAAAGUAAGGGCUGCAGGUUUGUGUCUUGGAAUGUUAGAGGCAUUAAUGAUACCAUAAAAAGGGGCAAAGUUCUCUCACACUUAAAACAGCUAAGUGGAGAUAUUUAUUUUAUUCAAGAAACUCAUCUUAAAGCAUCUGAAGUUUCCCGUCUUAAGAAACCAUGGAUGAAGUACGUGUAUCACUCAAAGUUUUCGGCGAGGUCAAGAGGUACAGCCAUUAUUAUUGGUAAAAAUAUUCCCUUUGAGCCCAAAAAGUUAACCGAAGAUCCAAAUGGUCGAUUUGUUGCAGUAUCUGGCAGGCUAUUUGACAUCCCGGUAGUUUUGGUGAGUGUCUAUGCACCAGUAUGGGACGAUGCCCAGUUCAUAAUACGUCUGUUUUCCUCCUUGCCCGAUAUAGAGUUUUGCUACCCUAUUAUAGGUGGUGAUUUUAACCUUAUUCAGGAUCCGAUUUUGGAUAGGUCUUCAUCCAGACCCCUCACUCUAUCUAAAUCUGCUACUACAUUAAAAGCGUUUGCAGAUCAGCUUGGACUCAGUGACCCCUGGAGACAUCUUAACCAAUCUGACAAAGUUUUUUCAUUUUUUUCCCACGUCCAUCACACUUACUCUAGAAUUGACUUUUUCUUAAUGGACAACAGAUUGUUGGACUGGGUAAACCUGAGCAACUAUCACAGUAUAGUUGUUUCAGAUCACGCACCGCUUUCACUGGAUAUACAUUUUCCAAAUUACACACCUCCAUGUACGCAAUGGAAACUUUCCUAUUUUCUAUUAAAUAACUCACAAUUCAAACAAUUUUUUCAGCAAGAAAUUACAACUUUUUUUGACAUUAAUGAUACUCCUGAGGUCUCCAGAGGCAAUCUAUGGGAAGCCUGCAAGGCGUAUUUGAGGGGACAAGCGAUUUCAUUUGCAUCCUAUCAGAAGAAGACCGACACAGCUAGGAUGACUUGGCUUGCUAAUCAGAUACUAAAAAUUGACGCACAAUAUUCUGUUGCCCCCACUAAUGUUCUUUAUGAUGAACGUCUUAAAUUGCAAGCUGAGUAUGAUUUACUGUCAACAGCAAAGGUUGAAAUUAAAUUGUUACACUCUAGACAGCGUUAUUUCGAACAGGGCGAUAAGGCAGGUAAACUCCUUGCUCAUCAAGCUAGAUCAGUUGCCCUUUCAAAACUGAUACCAAGAAUAAAAUCAAUCUCUGGGUCAAUAGUGUCAGAUCCCAAUCUCGUGAACAAAACUUUUGAAAAUUUUUAUAUAGAUCUGUAUACGUCUGACCACUCACCGGAGGUCUGGGAUGGGGAUAACCCGCUGGAGAGGCUUACUUACCCUAGAAUGAAUGCUGAGUUGGUUGGCGGAAUGGGCGGGCCGAUUUUACUACUGGAAGUACAAGAUGCACUUAGCCAACUACAGAAGGGGAAAUCCCCUGGCCCAGAUGGAUUUGGGGUGGAAUUCUACAAAACCUACUCAGAUGUAAUUUGUCCACAACUGGUCAAGGUCUACAACGACGCCUUUUUUACUGGUAAACUACCCUCGACUUUCUAUGAGGCAAACAUUUCCCUUCUAUUAAAAAAGGGAAAAGACCCAGUUGAGUGUGGUAGCUAUAGGCCCAUAAGCCUUUUAAACGUGGAUCAGAAGAUACUCGCUAAGGUCCUAGCAACGCGUCUACAGCAAGCCCUCCCUACUCUCAUCGCUGCUGACCAGACAGGGUUCAUGGCCGGCCGAGACUCGUCGUUUAAUACAAGGAGACUUAUUAACAUUAUUGGCUCUCCUGGUUCUGAGGUACCUGAAGUUGUGAUCUCAUUGGAUGCUGAAAAAGCAUUUGACAGGGUUGAAUGGAAGUAUUUGUUUUAUAUUUUAGCAAAGUUUGGUUUUAGUGAUGAUUUUAUUAAAUGGAUCAAAAUGCUUUAUCAGUGUCCAACUGCUCAGGUCCUUACAAACGGGGUACGGUCAGCUUCAUUCCCUCUUCAUCGGGGCACCAGGCAGGGUUGCCCCCUUUCUCCCCUCCUUUUUACUCUGGCAGUGGAACCACUGGCUAUGUGGUUUCGUGAAGAAGCACGAGUAAUGGGCAUCACGAGGAAUGAUGUCACCCAUAAAUUAUCUCUUUAUGCGGAUGAUUUGUUACUAUAUUUGUCAAACCCAGUUUCUUCCAUCCCGAUCGUCAUUUACAUUUUAACACAGUUUGGCAAAUAUUCCGGAUACAAAUUAAACUUUGGAAAAAGUGAACUUCUGCCAAUUAACACCCUAUCAAGAAUGAUACCAGCAUCCUCUUUUCCAUUCAAAGUUACAGCUGAGGGGUUUCGAUACCUGGGUGUUUUCAUCCCUGCUUCCUUUGCUGACCUUUUCAAGAGUAAUUUUCAUCCAUUAAUUGAUAAAUGCAAGCUCGACAUGACACGCUGGUCACUGCUUCCACUGUCGCUGACUGGCAGAGUUAAUUUGGUUAAAAUGGUUUUACUCCCUAAAUUUCUCUACCUGUUUCAACACAUCCCGAUUUUUUUAAGGAAAUCCUUUUUUCACAAUCUAGACAAAUUAAUCUCUGCUUUCUUAUGGCCAGAUAAGCGCCCCCGGAUCAAUAAAACAAUUAUGCGGUUGCCCAAGAACCAGGGAGGCCUCGCUCUUCCGAAUUUCAUUCUUUAUUACUGGGCAUGUAAUAUUGUCAAAAUAAAUAAUUGGCUACUGGGAGACAUAGACCUCUGCCCUUCAUGGGCUAGGCUUGAGUUAAGAUCCUCCAGGUUGUCACUGAAGUCUCUUCUUACUGCAAAGCUUCCUCUAAAGACUGCCCAUCUCUCCCAAAACCUUGUUGCCAUAAAUUCAUUAAAAAUUUGGAUUCAGUUUCGUAAAAACUAUGGCUUAGCGGGUCCUUCAAUUCUUGCACCAAUAGCAAAAAAUCAUUUAUUUCCUCCAUCUAACUUCGACUCCACCUUCGUAACCUGGCACAAUAGAGGCCUGAAAAAUAUUCAGGACCUAUACCUUGAUGGGCGCCUAAUGAAUUUCGAAGAGCUAUCGAAGAAAUUCAGUCUACCUCAAUCCCAUUUCUACCGGUUUUUACAAAUUAGGCACUUCAUUCAAUCUACUUAUCCAAAUUUUCCCAAUCGGCCACCAACCUCCUUGAUUGAUUCCGUGCUCAACCUAGACCAUGCCCAUAAACAAACCAUUUCAUCCAUCUAUAAUUUCUCAGCUUGUCAGAGCCCCUUAUAUUCUCACUCCUUAAAACACAAGUGGGAGAACGAGAUUGGGACUGAAAUAUCGGACAGUCGCUGGAAGCAGAUUUGUAAGCUGGUCCACUCCUCCUCCAUUUGUGCCAGACAUGGUCUAUUGCAAUGCAAAAUCGUUUUUAGAGUACAUUACACCAAUGCUCGACUUGCAAAAAUUUACCCCACUAUCAUUGAUAGCUGCAAUAGAUGUAAACAAUCACCCGCUGAUCACACACAUAUGUUUUGGUCUUGUCCUAACCUCACUAAUUUUUGGCGGCAGAUCUUCAACACACUGGAAACCGUAUCUGGCACAGAUCUGGGGGAGGACCCAUGCAUAGCACUUUUUGGUUGCCCUCCUCCAUUACCCGUUUUAUCAGCACCUGACCUGCACCAGGCUGGGAAGACUGAAUCUGCAAUAGGUUAAAGGAUCACGUGAAUGACAAGACAAAACUCCCCAUAUUGAUAUUUCCAGAGGGAACCUGCAUUAAUAACACGUCAGUCAUGAUGUUUAAGAAGGGAAGUUUUGAAAUAGGAGCAACAAUUUACCCCGUGGC